This 796-nucleotide ribosomal RNA is filed under the name uncultured bacterium. Its description in RNAcentral is "bacterial SSU rRNA". It matches the Rfam family "Bacterial small subunit ribosomal RNA", at positions 8 to 796 of the family's 1533-position model. The record is from RNAcentral.
AGAGUUUGAUCCUGGCUCAGAUUGAACGCUGGCGGCGUGCCUAACACAUGCAAGUCGAGCGGUAACAGGUGUAGCAAUACAUGCUGACGAGCGGCGAACGGGUGAGUAAUGCUUCGGAAUCUACCCUAUAGUGGGGAAUAACUAGCCGAAAGGUUAGCUAAUACCGCAUAAGUCCUACGGGAGAAAGCAGGGGAUCGCAAGACCUUGCGCUGAUGGAUGAGCCGAAGUCGGAUUAGCUAGUUGGUGGGGUAACGGCUCACCAAGGCGACGAUCCGUAGCUGGUCUGAGAGGACGACCAGCCACACUGGAACUGAGACACGGUCCAGACUCCUACGGGAGGCAGCAGUGGGGAAUAUUGGACAAUGGGGGAAACCCUGAUCCAGCGACGCCGCGUGUGUGAAGAAGGCCUGCGGGUUGUAAAGCACUUUUAGUGGGGAUGAAAUGUGCAGGGUUAAUACCUCUGCAUUUUGACCUAACCCACAGAAAAAGCACCGGCUAACUCUGUGCCAGCAGCCGCGGUAAUACAGAGGGUGCAAGCGUUAAUCGGAAUUACUGGGCGUAAAGCGUGCGCAGAUGGUUGCGUAAGUCAGAUGUGAAAGCCCCGGGCUCAACCUGGGAAUUGCAUUUGAGACUGCGUAGCUAGGGUGCGGAAGAGGGAAGCGGAAUUUCCGGUGUAGCGGUGAAAUGCGUAGAUAUCGGAAGGAACACCAAGUGGCGAAAGCGGCUUCCUGGUCCAGCACCGACAUUCAGGCACGAAAGCGUGGGGAGCAAACAGGAUUAGAUACCCCAGUAGUCC